UGAACCAGCCAAGUAGCGUGCAGGAUGACGGCCCUAUGGGUUGUAAACUGCUUUUAUACAGGAAUAAAGUUAGCCACGUGUGGUUAUUUGUAGGUACUGUAUGAAUAAGGACCGGCUAAUUCCGUGCCAGCGAGCCGCGGUAAU
This 144-nucleotide ribosomal RNA is filed under the name uncultured bacterium. Its description in RNAcentral is "partial 16S ribosomal RNA". It matches the Rfam family "Bacterial small subunit ribosomal RNA", at positions 384 to 524 of the family's 1533-position model. The record is from RNAcentral.